CAUGCUAGACGAGUUUGAUCAGGCUCAGAACGAACGCUGGCGGCAGGCCUAACACAUGCAAGUCGAGCGCCCCGCAAGGGGAGCGGCGGACGGGUGAGUAACGCGUGGGAACGUACCCUUUGCUACGGAAUAGCCUCGGGAAACUGGGAGUAAUACCGUAUGUGCCCUUCGGGGAAAGAUUUAUCGGCAAAGGAUCGGCCCGCGUUGGAUUAGGUAGUUGGUGGGGUAAUGGCCUACCAAGCCGACGAUCCAUAGCUGGUUUGAGAGGAUGAUCAGCCACACUGGGACUGAGACACGGCCCAGACUCCUACGGGAGGCAGCAGUGGGGAAUCUUAGACAAUGGGCGCAAGCCUGAUCUAGCCAUGCCGCGUGAGCGAUGAAGGCCUUAGGGUUGUAAAGCUCUUUCAGUGGGGAAGAUAAUGACUGUACCCACAGAAGAAGCCCGGCUAACUCCGUG
Molecule: ribosomal RNA, 457 nt
Filed under: uncultured bacterium
Lineage: Bacteria
Description: bacterial SSU rRNA
Rfam family: Bacterial small subunit ribosomal RNA
Source: RNAcentral